UGCGCAUAAUAACGCACGGAGUCUGAAACAGCCCGCACCAUCCAUGAGUAAGAUAGUUUUAUCUUCUUGGAAGAUUAGCUCACUUUCCUCUGUAAUACAUGGUCACGCCAGCACUUCAUUGCCGUCCUUGGAGCGAAUAUUCACUAACGUCGCCAUAUCAGCGCUGACAGUCUCAGACAAAAUGGCGCCGUGCGUUUACAAUAUCCGCCUGCUCGUUUGUGGACUGCUGCCUACACUGAUCGAAACUGCAGUGUAGGAAGUGUAGUUUUCAUGUUACACUACAGCUAUAAAAAAUGUUUUCGUGUAGGUGGGUGGAGCUAAACUUUUCGACACAAGUAAAAAAAAUUAUGACUUCCUGCAAUAGUUACACUCGUGUAGUCAGUGUAAGUAAAAAAAAUAGCCCCAUUAGAAAGUUUCGGUUCGACACUCAGCUUCUGGACCUUUGGCUGUGUGGGCCGCUUGAAUUCAUGCGCCUUUCAUGCUUGCGAAUGAUGAACUCGAGUUCUGCCAUGAAUCGCGGUGGGAGGUAAGCUAGCGCCCUUCCGCGGUUGUUUAGAAAUGUGUGGAGCAUGGCCUCCGAGACUGCCCCAGCAUACGAAUGCUCCACUUCGAUGCACCAGGCUGCGAGUGGAGCAUCCAGUGGAAAGUUCGUAGUGGCGCGAGUAUGCGGAUUGCCCCAAAGCGACUACAGGCAAAAGCCAAGGUCGCGUAUCGCUUUAUGCCACCGUGACAAAGACCAUCCUUUUGAGCAACGAUUUUGAGCCAGCAGCUGCGGUACGUCACUGUCACGGCACUCAGCGUGAUGCCUACUUCAUCGCGAAAGAAGCCGUUGUGCGGUGAAAGGGUGGUUCGUGAGUCGUUGCGCGAUGCGCACCUCGUAUGUGGAAAGACUGGUGUUCUAAUCGCCGUGGUUAAGAAAAUGCACGCUAAAGCGCGCAAAAAAAAAAAAAAAAAUGUCUCCUGUGAUGCCACACUGCAGUUGGUGCAGGCGGCGUUGCCGUGAUCGGCUACACAGUAGAGCUGCGCGCCGCCGUGAUUUUAUUGAAACCCAAGCAUUUUCCGUUGUGCUUCUUUACAGACGUGCCUGACGCAAAGCGCGUUCUUUGUACCUUUUUUUUAGAAAGCGCGCGUUGUGGCGGUGCAACCGCUUGCUGAUGACCCCGUUGCCUCAAAAGCAACUACAGUUGACGACACCUCAAUUCACAUAGUAUGUGAUCUGUAAAAAUGCUAUGGCAUUCUCCGUGUAUCCCGUGGGCACACCAAUCGAGCCCGCGAGUCCAGCCGCAAGGUCAUCCACGAAUCCAGAAGGCGUGAAUCCAAUGUCUCCAGAGCUUGCCAUCACUCCAACAAUGGGUCUUCCUGCUGCUGCAACACUCGAAUAGGAGAAGGAGUCACUCCUCGCAACGCCCGCACUAAUAACCAGACUACCUCAAUGCCCACUAUGCAAGCUCAAAUGCCUGUCACGAUCAUUUUCUGCCCUUGGCAACCAGUCAACCUCAAAAGCGGCAACCUCUCCGUCCACACUGAGGCAUUGAAUGCCAUGUGAAGACGCUCCCAACAGUCCAGACUUCCCAGGUGCAUCUCUUUGAACACUUGAGUUUGCUCGCCUCCGUUCGCUGCUGAAUUUCUCAGUCUUGCACAACUCAAGAUACCUGUUCGUGACACGGUGGGACAUGGCUGUAUGCUGGCUGGAUGCAAAUUAUCUCCAUUGUCAUCAUAACAACAUGAUGGUCCUUUGACGUAACAUCUGUGACGUGAAGUGCAGCAUUACCAUCUGUUUCCUUUAUGUUGCAGAAUGCUGAUGACUGCGGGACGUCUGCAUAUCCGAGGCCAACACCAGAUGAACGGGAACAGUUCAUGGACGAGCUGCAAGUCACGGGGAAAGCAGAAUACUUUUGCACAGCCAAGAAGAACACACUCGAAGCAUUUGUUCAGGAAGGCGAGCCUGGAGAAAUGGGAGUACCUCAGGAAGUGUCAGUUGAGGACUUCUUAUGUCUGGAAAUUAUGGAAGGACCCCUUGUGCCUGUUAGGAAAACUAAGCCUCGAGGAAAAAAAGUCAACAGAAAAGGCGCUUGUUGGUUACGCUGUGAUGUGUGUCAGUAUACCACAAGAUGGCCAAGUAAUCACAAGAAACACAUGCGAACCCACCAACAGAAGCGCUUCAAGUGUGACGUUUGUCCGGGGACAUUUUCGACGGAGAGCGAGGAUCAUUUCAAGGCUCACAUGUCGGUUCAUGCUGGCGUGAAGCCGUUCAAGUGCAGCAAGUGCUCGUACGCAUCAACGAGGAAGCAUCUCAUAGAAAAGCAUGAGUCAGAACACCACAUUGAACUGAGCAUCAUCUAUGUUGAGUGAACAUAGCAUUCAACUAACGAAGGGGUGGGAGAGGAGCGCAGGACACUCGGCUUCCCCAAGAGCCAUUGACCUGGGGAAUGGUCUCCUUGAGAUACAACAUCCAAGGCCAGUCAUGCAAAUUUGCAACGUCCUUUAAUAAUUCAUGUUUUUUACAUCAUUUAAUUGAGUUCCCCCAGCGUGCCAUUACCUGCAUUUGUAAUUUGUUUCCUUGUUUCCAAGACAGUACUGUUGCUUUCGAUGCCCUAUGUCCUUUUGUAAAAUAUUUUUUAACACGUUUUUAGGAGAGGGAUAGGGAAUUGUGGGCUGUUAGAGCUAUCUGUAAAGCAUGGAUGCGUUCUUUCUUUUCUUUUAUAAUAAUUUUUUCCUAGAAGUAAUUUUUCUUUCACUACUUAUAAAGAUGAAAUAUUCUUUUGUACCUUCUGCUAGCCUCUUGCAUAUGUACUAUGCUACUUCCUUCUUUUUUCCUAACAUGGUGCAUCAUCGUUAGUGCCAUUACUUUUAUUUUUUUCGUGUUAGUAAACUGCAUUCCUGUGUAUCCCUCCAUUAUGCAAUUCCUUUUGGUGCCCAUAAGGUAUUUAAAUGAAUAAACUUGUCCUUUUCGAUUAUGCA
This is a long non-coding RNA of Dermacentor andersoni, 2961 nucleotides long. RefSeq lists it as uncharacterized. The record is from RefSeq and is a predicted model, not a curated record. NCBI's taxonomy places the organism in Eukaryota, Metazoa, Arthropoda, Arachnida, Ixodida, Ixodidae.